GUGUGCAUUGUGUGCCAGUAUGUGCACACGCGUGUGUGCGCACGCACACACACACAC
Molecule: microRNA precursor, 57 nt
Filed under: Chinchilla lanigera (long-tailed chinchilla)
Lineage: Eukaryota; Metazoa; Chordata; Mammalia; Rodentia; Chinchillidae
Description: miRNA (ENSCLAG00000021924.1)
Source: RNAcentral